RNAcentral lists this ribosomal RNA (462 nucleotides) under Streptococcus sp. oral taxon 057. Its description in RNAcentral is "bacterial SSU rRNA". It matches the Rfam family "Bacterial small subunit ribosomal RNA", at positions 28 to 474 of the family's 1533-position model. The record is from RNAcentral. Lineage: Bacteria; Bacillati; Bacillota; Bacilli; Lactobacillales; Streptococcaceae.
GAUGAACGCUGGCGGCGUGCCUAAUACAUGCAAGUAGAACGCUGAAGGAGGAGCUUGCUCUUCUGGAAGAGUUGCGAACGGGUGAGUAACGCGUAGGUAACCUGCCUCUUAGCGGGGGAUAACUAUUGGAAACGAUAGCUAAUACCGCAUAAAAGUCGACAUUGCAUGAUGCUGACUUGAAAGGUGCAAAUGCAUCACUAAGAGAUGGACCUGCGUUGUAUUAGCUAGUUGGUGAGGUAACGGCUCACCAAGGCGACGAUACAUAGCCGACCUGAGAGGGUGAUCGGCCACACUGGGACUGAGACACGGCCCAGACUCCUACGGGAGGCAGCAGUAGGGAAUCUUCGGCAAUGGGGGCAACCCUGACCGAGCAACGCCGCGUGAGUGAAGAAGGUUUUCGGAUCGUAAAGCUCUGUUGUAAGAGAAGAACGAGUGUGAGAGUGGAAAGUUCACGCUGUGACG